This 7959-nucleotide long non-coding RNA is filed under the name Citrus sinensis (sweet orange). RNAcentral's name for it is "long non-coding RNA (CSIN_LNC003977)". The record is from RNAcentral. Lineage: Eukaryota; Viridiplantae; Streptophyta; Magnoliopsida; Sapindales; Rutaceae.
CAGGACUUGAUGGUUGGGAACCAGAGAGUGUGAAGAUUAUCAGUCCAAAUUCGAGCCCUGUCACAUAUGACUUCAACACCUCCGCUCCCAAUGAGGAUUGGUACGGAGUCAAUUUGUGCCAGAUACAUCCUCCUCCUUCUCCAUUUGAACCUUCGCCUCCUUUUCCAAUUAAACCUCCGCCUUCUCCUCCAUCUUCUUCUCAUCAGCAUCGCGUUCCCGGAUUGUUCGGGCUCGUAAUGAUUCUGGGAUCCAUCCUGAGUGCUCUGUUGUAAGCGCCCUUGAUGGUUUGUUUGGUUUUAUGUAUGUGAUUCUGGGAUAGUCCUAAGUGUUUCUGUUAUGUGCUUGCAACUACUAUCUGCCGUUAUUUUGUCUGCGGCACGAUUGGUGCAAUAAUAUGUCAUGUUGUUAUUAGUUGUAAUAGGAUAUUUAUCCAUGUCUGCCGGAUAUUUUGUAAGCUUUAUAAUAGUUGUGAACCGUGCUUUUGCAGCUAUUAAUUAACUAAUGUUGUUUUGUUAUUAACUACUCUUUGCAUAGCCCCUUCAAGAUGGGGGUUUUAUUUCAUGAUCAAGAUUUUCCCUUGAUUUGAUUAUAUUUUGGGAUAAAAUUAUGUUGCAACUAUGGUAUGCUACUGCAGUUGUUUUCAGUCGUUAGAUGUACAGUUAUAUAGUUAUAUUAGUUGGAUCUAAUGAUUGAAAACAAUUGUAGUAUCAUAUUAUAGUUGUAACAUAGUUGGACCCCAAUUGCAUGAUUGAUAGUUUAUAAAAAAAAAAAAUUGAAUCUUCUUCAUUCACUAUCACUAAAAGACACAUUGAAAGAAGAUUUUAAAAAAUUCAUAAGAAAUCAGAUCAAGAAAUGAUCAUUUUCUUUCGUUUCAUGGCUUUGCCUUAAACGCAAUUGAGAGUGGCCUUGGGCUCUUGGACAUUUUAUUUAAGAAAGGUGCUGGAAUUAAUGGUGUUACUGGAGGCGUCGCUAAAAGCAAUCGGCUAUAAUUUACUUGGUUAUUGUUUCGCAGCAAAGCUCGUGUUUCUUGAUGUGUCGUCUGUGUGGCCGUUGAUUUCAAUUCUCGAUUACGUGUCAUCUCUGUUCAGUUGAGUGAGCUUUUUCUUUUUUGGUCCCCAUUGCCUACAGCCACGAAUUUGAAAAACGUAAGACAUGUCGUCAUGUAGACAAAUUUGAACGGUGACGGUGUAGUAGUGGAGCCGAUUGAGACACGAUAUCGACUGAUUAAACUUACUUUAUAUGGGAAUCUUGUGAAAUUUUUAAUUAUGAUUUUUUAGGGUGACGACAACUUAAUUCAUUUUUCUAUAGAUGCAUGAGUUGGUUUUGAAUCUUAGUGCUUUUGAUUUUUACAUAAAAUUAUAUUAUCUCAACUAAAUAGUCUAUACAGAUUACAAAUGUUAUAAGAAUAUACUUUUAAGUGUUGUGAGAUGUUUUCAUUACUAAUUUACUAGUACUAACUUUUUUUUUUCUAAAAGAUAAAUUAAUUAGCGUCCAAAAUAUUAUUGUAAGAAUAUUAUUAUAAAAAUUAAGGAAAAGUAAUUUUUUAAAAGAUAAAUUAAUUAAUGUUAAGAAUAUUAUUAUAAAGAUAUUAAUAUGAAAAAAAUAACAUAAUUAAUUGUAAAGACAUUUUAAAGUGUUGUUAAAAAUAUAAGUGCUUUGGGGUAUAAAAAAUAGUUACUUGAGUUCGAGGAGAAAGUUAUUUGGUCACAUGUGCAAGCGCGACCAACGUUCUGUUAGGAGAAUAGAAUCAGGUCGCAUGGCUUUGGUUAAUAUCUCAUAUUGUUGAGCUUCAUUUGGAAGCUCAUCCGUAACGUAUAUGCACGCUCUGCUUUAAUGUUUAAAGCACAAUCAGGCAUUAUAAUGGUUGCUCAACAACUAGAUAAAUUGAUAUAUUAACUCUUAGAUUCAAGUGGCAUACUCAAUUUGGUAAUGACCACGCAGUAAAGAACGAACAAUAACGCGCGACAUGCAUAGUUCUCUAUAAGAACUGGGGGAGAUCCAGAAAAUGGAUUUUUUUUGGGGUUUUGAUUAAAAAAAUAGAAUUCUAGAAAAAAUACAAAAUACUUAAAAUCACAAGUGUGACAUUAUUAUUUUCCUUACAAAGAAAAACCUGAUUGCUGACUUGAGCGUUGGAAGGUUUUUACUAGAAAAAAUACGGCGUCCCUGACAGUUUUCUGUUGUUGCAGAUCAAAGGAAAUGUCAGUACAAUUCAAAUUCCACUACAGUAUCAAGCGACAAAUGCCCCAUCAAAAUAAAUUAAAGUGUUGGCGAGACAAUUUGGUCGCCGACCGAAUUACGGCAUCAACAAUAAAAAUUAAAUAAGAACUUAAGUUAAAAUAUAGAAAUUAAAUAAAGAUUUAUCCUAAGUUUAGAUAUCAAAUUUACUACGGAUCUUUGAUGGAGAAAGUUACCAAAAGAAACAAAAAGUCCAAAUUUUUGUCUUCAAAAGAUAGUGCACCUAGAUUGACCCUUAUAUACUAGAAGAAAGAGAUGGGAUUGAUUAUCCUUCACACAAGCUUCAAGAUAAUUCUUUUUAACCAAAAAAAAAAAAUUGUAAAAGGGAUUAAGAUGCGUAAAAUACAUUUUUUUCCCCCAAAAUUGCGUAAAAUACUUGAUGAAAACAUGCAAGGCAGUGGAGUCAAACUCAAUCGAGACACUGAGUCAGAUAAUUUGAUAGUAUGGUUCACCAUUGUCGACGUCUGCAUGUUUUGUCAAAGAAUGACUCCCAACCGUUUUCCAACAGAAAAACGGGUGUAGUUGGCACUAUUGGUUAUUAAUUAUUUAUUAUUUUACAUUUUCUAAUUGAUUAUUUUAUCAGCUUCCACGUGUGGGUAAGUAUAGUAGAAUAUCAUUGAGGCUCUUUGAAAAAAAAAAAGAAAGUAUAUGCACCUAAUUUCGCUUGAGUAUCUAAUUUAACCAACCAAUUGUGGACCAUGAUAGCCUAGUCUUCUUGAUGUUACAGCCAUUAAAUUGCCAAUCGGUGCAAGCGGUUUUUUUUUUUUAAUAGUAAAUGAUUUCAUUUCCAGUAAAACACAAUAAUUAUAAUAAAAUUUCGAUCUUUAUUGGGACCUCUUCGAUCCACACUCGAGGUGUUGAAAUGAAAAAAGUUAUUUUUUUUCUAAAGCAUGGGCCACUAAGUUAUAAGACCUAAAAGUAUAAGCUAUCUGAUAUUGAUUAUUUUGUUCUAUCAUAACUCUAAUAUCAUAAAGUAUCCAAUCUAACUCUUCUCUACUAGAAGUACCAUUGAGAAUAAAGUUGACAACAUUCUUGGAAUCAUACCCUAUAAGAAGAGGAGAAAGAGCAACAUCCACUGCCAACUUUAUUCCUUCUAAAAUCACUGAAGCUUCCGUAAUUUCUACAUCUCCUAAGCAAGGUUUCUUUGAUGUUGCAGCAGCCAUUACGGCUCCUUGAUAAUCUCUGAGAAUCGGUGCAAGCGGUUUUGGCUCAAAAUGCUUGCUGGUCUUCUAGAAUCUCAUACUUAAUUGACUAGAGAAGUGGAUAGACCUUCACUACCAAAGGGUCACACUACCUCCUCCUUCGAAGUUCAUUUCUCUAGGAUAAUUAUACUUGAUUUUUUUUUCUAGGGAAAGAUUCAUUGGGAUAAAAACCCAAGCAGAAGAAAUAGAAUUUAAUAACUCAUAAUGUAGUGCCUAACGUGCUUCGAUUGUGAUGUGAUUAUGUAAAGCACAGAGUUAUAAUCAUGGACCAACUUGAAAUAUUACACUAGAAACUACUUCCACUUGGGUGAGAUAUUAUGCUCUUUAAGCAAUAAUUUCGUAUCAGUUCAAACAAUAACCUUGAUUGUGUUACUGAGUCUCAUGGCUUUUAGAUAAGUUAUUGAGGUAUAUGGCUUGUAGAUAAAUCACCGAUGAAGAAUAAUUUUCACCGAAAAAUACUAUAGGCUUCAAAUUCAGACUUUGAUGGAUUUGCUAUCUUCAAUUGAUCUUUAGGGGUUUUGGAAUCUUCAAAUGCAUGGCUUUAUAUGUGUGUAAGAAUAUUCAAAUUCUGUCUUCAUUCUGUCGGGUUUUCCUUGCAAUAUUAGUAACAAAUAAAUUUAAAUAAAAAAAACACACAAUAACUAGCCUCAUUUUGUUUAAUGUAGAAGAUCCAAAUUAAUAUGACAAUGAUAGAGAAUACGUAUAAUUAAAUAAACUAGUAAAAUAAAGAGUAGGGUAUAAGAUACUUUCUAUACCCGAGCAAUAAUCAUAUUGAUAACAUGUUAUAAUGUUGAUGAAUUUGGGUAGGAAGCAUUUAACAAUUUUAAUAGAUAAUAUAGAUGAUAUAGAGAUAAGGGGGCUGUGUCAUAUAAAUACAAAGCAUUUUUCUCCCACGCUUAAUUACGGUUGCGUUUAGAAUUGAGGUUAUUCAGUAGUAACUUAAAAGUGACAACACUAAAGUGUUUGGUAAACAUUAGCUGCUAUAGUUUGUAAGCUAUAUUGAUAUGAUUUUUCACUUGUAUAAUGAAAAGUUUAUUAUAUAUUUAAUAAUUUUGUCAAAAUAAUUAUUUAAAAUUUAUAUUUACUAUAUAUUAUUAACUUUUGUUUAAUAGUUAUAAAAUCUUUUUCACAGCAACUAUAACUUAAAAACUACAACACCUCAAUCCCAAACGGAUCGGUUGUCCAAUUUCAAUUCCUGUCUCACUAGAAUAAUAAGCUUAAUUAAGUGUUCAGCUCCUUAGCUUUAUAUCAUAUAGCCCCCUUAUCUCUGUAUCAUAUAUAUUAUGCAUUAAAAUUAUUAAUAUAUUCCCUACCCAGAUUUCUCUCAGAUUUGAUCGUGCGAUCUUCAAAGUCAAAAACUUUUAAAAAAAGAAAAUAGUCCGCGUACCUAAACUCAAUUUUUCUAUGGGUGAAUCUGACCCGUAGGAAAAAUAGUACAAACAUCUAUUAUGAUAACGAUACAUUUGAGGACGAUGGCCAAAUAUUUUAUUUUGGUGAAGAUAAGGUUAUAUAUAUUUUAGUGGGACUAUUGUCAUGAAUUUUUAAUCUAUUUAAGAUCUUGCAAAUUAAAAUAUCAAAUAAAAAACAAACAAACAAUAAAAUCAAUCAUAUAAUAUAAGAAUUUGCAUGAAAAAAUCAUAUAUUAAAAAAAACUAUAACUACAAAGAACAAUAAGAGAAAAAUCUAUUAUGUGAAAAAUUAUUAUAAUCAGUUUAAUAUUUUUUUCACAUACAAAAUACUAAUAAUAUCCUAUCUUUCAAUAGAUCUACCAUUUUUCUUAUACUAAAAACUGUUUAUUUACAGAGAAAUUGAGUGAUUUACAAGUGAACCCAACUUCUACAUUUAUAGUGAUUAUUUAUUGUACAAGUAAUAUUCAUUUUCUUAGAAGAAUUAUAUUCAGUCAUUGAAUAAGUUAAGUACUAAAACGAAAAGACUCAUUAAAUAAUAUUUUACUUCUCAUUUGAAGUAGCCACAUUAUUAAUAAAUGUUCAAAAAAUUAUACAAAAGAGAUUUUUCAAGUUAGAGCAUCACCAAAAGACUCUUCAAAUAAGAUUUUAUUAAUUAUUUGAAGAGCCACCUCAAUAUUUAAGGCUCCAAAAGACAUUCCAAUUAAGAUUCUUCAAAUAAGAAAUGAUUCUCUCUCUUCAAAUUUGGAGAGUUGAUUUCUCCCUCUUCAAUUUAUAUUUUAUUACUUUUCAUUGAAGAAAGAGAGAGAAGUGCUUUAAUUACUAUUGACUUUUCCUUUAAAAAAAUAAUUAUUUGAUUAAAAUAAUAUUAACUUAUUUCUAUUUGAAGAGUCUUUUGGAGAAUAUCAUAUUUUUUCACCAUUCUAUUUGCCACAUAGGUAAGCAAAUAAGUAUUUGAAGAGUAAAAUUUAUAGAGGCUUUUGGAGAUGCUCUUAGAUUGUCAUUCUCUCUUCUCAAUAUUAAAGAGUGACUUUUAUUUUCAAUUAAUAUUAUAUUAUUUUUUAUCUCAUUAUUAUUAAAAAAAUAAGUACUAUAAUUACUAUUAUUAUUAUUUUGGUUGAGAAAAUAAUUUAAUUAAAAUAAUAUUAAUUUAUUUUUAUUUAAAGAGUUUUUUAAAGGAUGUCAUAUUUUGUUAGGUAAAUAAAUAAGUAUUUAAAAAAUAAAAUUGGAAUAGUUUUGGCUAACGCUCAGUUGCUUAUAGAACAUGGCCGGCCGGCCACUACUCACACAGUGAAAAUAGUUAAAAGACAGAUUUGCCCUUAAGAGCGAUGGAACGUCGGGGAUUUGUAAAUUUCCCAAAAAACACAGGCUUGCUAACUUUUUAUUCACCCCACACGAUUCAACUACCCGCAGGCUGCGGCAACAUUAGCAUAUUUAAACAAGGUUUCUGGGGAAUUGAAUAAAAAAUUAACAGGAAAAAAGAAAAAAAAAUCGAAAAUCGAAAAUCGAAAAUGAAAAUCGCAGCUCCCAUUCUGCUUCUGUUGGCCUUUGCGUUCACGCUAUCUGAAGCCGAAACGACGAGCUUGCAGCUGAAGCCUCGAGCUUUCGAGUCCUUUAACGUUAGUUAUAUUCAGGUACCGUAGUUAUUAUUUUAUCUCUCUCUCUUUUUUUAAUAAAUUUAUUAUUUUUUGAGUAGUUGUUGAUAAUCGUUUAAUUUUUUAACCAAAAAAUAGAACCUAGGGAGCUGUUCUUACACGGUGGUCAUAACUACCAGCUGUUCCUCAAGCAAGUACACUCGCGAUCAGAUCAGUAUUGCUUUUGGAGAUGCUUACGGCAAUCAGGUUUUCAAUUUUAUUUUUUUAAAUUUAAAAGUAUCUUUUAAUUUCUUCAGUUUUUAAAUCAGUGUUUUUGUCCUUUUUUUUUUUAAUGGUGAUUCUGGAUUUCAUUUUUAGGAAGGAAAUUGAUAAUUAGAUUUUUGUUUGCUUAAAUGGAAAGUGAUGACCAGUGAUGUAGAAAUUUUUAUGUAUUUAACUGUAGGCUUUUUAAUUUCAUUUUAUUUUUGAGAGCAGAGCAGAGAAAGUAUAUUAGGGUAAAGUUCAGUUGGCUGGAGUUAAUAAAUGCAUGGAUGUAAGAUCAGUUUGGGUUUGAAUUGCAGUGGUUUUAGUCAACAAUUGCUGUGAAAUUGAAUCACUUGUCGUUAAGUUAUAAAGUUGGCGAUUAGCAGUUGAGUAAACUUCAGUUGUGCCUUUUAAAUUAAGUUCAAGCACAACAACCAGAAAUGGGCUCGUAGUCUUAGUCUUUGCAUUGGGUUCUUUUCAUUUGAGAUCCUGUUCCUGGGCGAAAUGCUUUUGUGCUCUUGAAGGAGAUAUUUGUUUAUUUCAGCUUAACACUAUAAUACAAGUAGACCACAAUGCCUAAUUGAAAAUGUUUUGUUCGGACCCAGAAUAGUCUCAAACUUGUAAACCAUCGUUGCGGUGGGGGGCACCUCCUUAGCUCCUUGCCUUCUUCUCAUGAUUGAUGGUUUGAGUGUCCCAGUUUGUUGUGCUAGUGUUUUCUUUGAAUUUCCUGAGUUCACUUUGAAGUAUGCUUGGCCAGAGCACAUAUCAAACUUCUUAUGAAAGUUGAACUAAUUUAAGGGAUUUUGAGUGGAAUUCUCGUAACCUAUUAGUAGAUGUGUUGUUGCUCCAUAUUAAAUACAACAGAAAGCAAUUCUUUAUGUAAUGCAUUCAUUUUGUUUCUAAAGGUCAGGUUUAUCUAGAAAUAUAAAACUACACUAUUCUUAUAGUCAAAUGUGGAUUACUAAUAUAUUUGAAACAUUUGUAAUCAGAUUUAUGCACCAAGACUUGAUGAUCCGUCUACCGAUGCAUUUGAAAGUUGCUCCUCUGAUACAUUUGAGAUAAGAGGACCAUGUGCGUAUCAAAUCUGUUAUGUGUAUUUGUAUCGAACUGGACCGGAUGGUUGGAAACCAGAGAGUGUGAAGAUUUAUGGUGCUAAUUCGAGAGCUGUCUCAUUUUACUACAACACCUUUAUUCCCAGUGAUAUCUGGUAUGGAUUCAAUCUGUGCCGAAGUGCUUCUUCUGCACAUCAACAACAUGUACCCAGAUGGUCUGUGUAUG